This is a long non-coding RNA of Ipomoea nil (Japanese morning glory), 689 nucleotides long. RefSeq lists it as uncharacterized. Lineage: Eukaryota; Viridiplantae; Streptophyta; Magnoliopsida; Solanales; Convolvulaceae. The record is from RefSeq and is a predicted model, not a curated record. The transcript has 3 exons.
CCUUUUGCUGAUUGAAGUAGAUGGCAAAUGGUUGUUGAAAUCAAGAAUUGAAGUGCGAAUGAAGAUGCGUAGCUGGAGAAUUAUACAUGGCUAGGAAGAAGCUAUUUCCAGCAGUGUCAUUAAGUUGACGGCAGAUAAAGACUCUGGUGGCGUGGCAUGCCAACAUGUCUCUGAAACAAACAAAAAUUUGCUUGCCGGCAAUUUAUACCAUACACUCCGGCGUAUGACUCUACGUGCGCCCAGUUGCAAUACGACGUCGCAUGACACUGUGAUUGCGCAACAGCAGGUGGCGGAGACAGAGGAAUUCAAUGAUCCGGUUGGAUUGGCAGAUACAGAAAAUGUUAAUCCAGUUAUGUACGUAGACCGUAGCAGCAGAAUGAAGUCAAGAUGACGACUCCAUCGACGACUGAAGGGACGAGCGACUUCUUCGAACUUCUUCUACGAACGAGCUGGACGAAAUCAAUUGAAGCCAAGAGUAAUUGGAGCCUAGUUUGUUAAAUUUCUCUGGUUAGAAAAAUAAAUAUUAUUUAUUUUCUAGAUUUUAUGUGGUUUAAGAUAUGAAUUUAAUUUGUGAAUGUUAGGAAAAUUAGGGUUAUUUUGAGUUGAUUAGGGAGCUAGAACUAGUAUAAAUAGGCUGAAUUUUCAGUAGAAGUCAGUCAGUCAGUUCAGAGAACAAUUUUAUUUUCUGU